AGUGGAUGGGGAGCAACCUAGUUGUGCGUGUGUAAAGGUAGUGCCAAGAAAAGCGAUGAUCAUGUUGAAAAUCAAUUCCCGGUACCCGAAACCGACACAGGUGGGCAAGUAGAGAAUACUAAGGGGCGCGAGGUAACUCUCUCCAAGGAACUCGGCAAAAUGACCCCGUAACUUAGGGAGAAGGGGUGCCACCGAGAGGUGGUCGCAGUGAAGAGGCCCAGGCGACUGUUUAGCAAAAACAUAGGUCUCUGCAAACUCGAAAGAGGAGGUAUAGGGGCUGACGCCUGCCCAGUGCCGGAAGGUUAAAGAAGUUGGUCAGUCUUAGGAUGAAGCUAGCGACUGAAGCCCCGGUGAACGGCGGCCGUAACUAUAACGGUCCUAAGGUAGCGAAAUUCCUUGUCGGGUAAGUUCCGACCCGCACGAAAGGCGUAACGAUCUGGGCGCUGUCUCGGAGAGAGGCUCGGCGAAAUAGGAUUGUCUGUGAAGAUACGGACUACCUGCAUUUGGACAGAAAGACCCUAUGAAGCUUUACUAUAGCUUGGAAUUGUGUUCGGGCUUCCUGUGCGCAGGAUAGGUGGGAGGCGUAGAAGGUAUUCUUGUGGGGAUACUGGAGCCAACGGUGAGAUACCACUCUCAGGAGGCUAGAAUUCUAACUUAAUUAAGGACAGUUUCAGGUGGGUAGUUUGACUGGGCGGUCGCCUCCAAAAAGGUAACGGAGGCGUACAAAGGUUCCCUCAGACUGGUUGGAAAUCAGUCGAAGAGUGCAAAGGCAGAAGGGAGCUUGACUGCGAGAAGUACAGUUCGAGCAGGGUGGAAACACGGUCUUAGUGAUCCGACGGUGCUGUGUGGAAGGGCCGUCGCUCAACGGAUAAGAGUUACUCUAGGGAUAACAGGCUGAUCUCCCCCAAGAGUUCACAUCGACGGGGAGGUUUGGCACCUCGAUGUCGGCUCAUCGCAACCUGGGGCGGAAGUACGUCCCAAGGGUUGGGCUGUUCGCCCAUUAAAGCGGUACGUGGGCUGGGUUCAGAACGUCGUGAGACAGUUCGGUCCAUAUCCGAUGUAGGCGUGAGAAUAUUGAGAGGAGCCUUCCUUAGUACGAGAGGACCGGGAAGGACGCACCGCUGGUGUACCUGUUAUGAUGCCGAUUGUAAACGCAGGGUAGCCAAGUGCGGAGAGGAUAACCGCUGAAAGCAUCUAAGUGGGAAGCCCACCUCAAGAUGAGUAUUCUGGUGUAAGGUCACGGGAAGACGACCCGUAAAUAGGCACGAGGUGGAAGUGCAGAGAUGUAUGAAGCCGAAGUGUACUAAUAGACCGUCGGCUUGAUC
This 1325-nucleotide ribosomal RNA is filed under the name metagenome. Its description in RNAcentral is "bacterial LSU rRNA". It matches the Rfam family "Bacterial large subunit ribosomal RNA", at positions 1561 to 2925 of the family's 2925-position model. The record is from RNAcentral.